UCAGAUUGAACGCUGGCGGCAGGCCUAACACAUGCAAGUCGAGCGGCAGCGGGAGAAAGCUUGCUUUCUUGCCGGCGAGCGGCGGACGGGUGAGUAAGGUAUGGGGAUCUGGCCGAAGGCGGGGGAUAACCACUGGAAACGGUGGCUAAUACCGCAUAAUCUCUAAGGAGCAAAGUGGGGGACCUUUGGGCCUCACACCUUCGGAUGAACCCAUAUGAGAUUAGCUAGUAGGUGGGGUAAAGGCUCACCUAGGCGACGAUCUCUAGCUGGUCUGAGAGGAUGAUCAGCCACACUGGGACUGAGACACGGCCCAGACUCCUACGGGAGGCAGCAGUGGGGAAUAUUGCACAAUGGGCGCAAGCCUGAUGCAGCCAUGCCGCGUGUAUGAAGAAGGCCUUCGGGUUGUAAAGUACUUUCAGUCGUGAGGAAGGUGUUAGGGUUAAUAACCUUAGCAAUUGACGUUAGCGACAGAAGAAGCACCGGCUAACUCCGUGCCAGCAGCCGCGGUAAUACGGAGGGUGCGAGCGUUAAUCGGAAUUACUGGGCGUAAAGGGCACGCAGGCGGUUAAUUAAGUUGGAUGUGAAAUCCCCGGGCUU
Molecule: ribosomal RNA, 597 nt
Filed under: uncultured Arsenophonus sp.
Lineage: Bacteria; Pseudomonadati; Pseudomonadota; Gammaproteobacteria; Enterobacterales; Morganellaceae
Description: bacterial SSU rRNA
Rfam family: Bacterial small subunit ribosomal RNA
Source: RNAcentral